GGUAUAUGCACUGUCCCUUCAUCACUUUUCAACAAACUCUGCUACCUAUUACCCAAGGAAACUUGGGAGCUGGGACACUAUGCAGUUGCAGGGUUGUACUUGAGCCUAGACUAGCCUAUCGUCUGGGUUGGACUUAGAAUUGGAUUGAAAUCCACAUGAUCAAACCUAAAGAUUAAAACCAAUCAAUGGUUCAAGGAUCUGAACCAAAUCGAAACUGAAAAUA
This 223-nucleotide unclassified non-coding RNA is filed under the name Hevea brasiliensis (rubber tree). The record is from RNAcentral. Lineage: Eukaryota; Viridiplantae; Streptophyta; Magnoliopsida; Malpighiales; Euphorbiaceae.